Molecule: long non-coding RNA, 204 nt
Filed under: Elaeis guineensis (African oil palm)
Lineage: Eukaryota; Viridiplantae; Streptophyta; Magnoliopsida; Arecales; Arecaceae
Description: long non-coding RNA (EGUI_LNC049441)
Source: RNAcentral
CAAUGCCUCUAUGGCAAUGCCAAGAAGCAGAAGGAGAUAUACACCAAGUCCUAUCAUUCAGGAUUUGGUGAGGGAAUCUCAACCAUUUGAGGAAGGUCAGUAAUAAGCAUGGGGGGAUUAGAGGUGUCUUCAUCUCAUUUUAUCUGCUCCACGAUGCCUUGCUCUUAUUCUAUGGCCUCGGCUUCAUCUUCCUCCUACUCCUCG